AAUUAUUUGGCAGAAUAUUGUAUUAAAUUUAGAAUUUAAGAAACUUCAAUUAUCU
Molecule: transfer RNA, 55 nt
Filed under: Atypus karschi
Lineage: Eukaryota; Metazoa; Arthropoda; Arachnida; Araneae; Atypidae
Description: tRNA-Leu
Source: RNAcentral